Nothobranchius furzeri (turquoise killifish) is the source of this 2082-nucleotide non-coding RNA. Lineage: Eukaryota; Metazoa; Chordata; Actinopteri; Cyprinodontiformes; Nothobranchiidae. The record is from RefSeq and is a predicted model, not a curated record.
UCUCACACUAACAUCCCGUUUUACCUCAGGGCCUCCUGAUCUAACAGAAAAAACUGUAGCUCCAUCCUUGCUCUGCUUUCCACAUGUUUCUCAUCAUCUCUGGAAGCUACCUCCCACAACACUGUGAUGUUAUAUAUAAUUUUUUUAGGCUAAAUGAACCCAAGUAAUCUGCUGUCAGUCUGAUUAUUGCAGCUGUAAAUGGUCCAGACUAACCCCGGGUUUCCACGGGAGCCGUCAGCAGCACGUUACUGCAGCAGCACGUCUAGCUGCUGCUUGGCCCUUCCCACGAGACGCGAAGCAGCAGGGGAGCAGCUGUCACCGACAGAGCACGAAGUCACACGAGUGACUUCGUCAGUAAACACAACAACAAGCAGGAGAAAUUUACAAUAUGGUUUGUGUUUUAUGUUCUGUCCGUUUUAUAAUCGCCAAUACGGACCUGAAAAACAAAGGAGACCGCUAGCUAGGUGAUAACUUCUCACGGGGACGCACAGUUAGUAACGUUUUUUAAAAGUAAAGCAACCGGAAGGCAGUACGUUCUUUAUUCUGAAAAUCUCGAGAGCUUCUCUCCAUUUCCGCGUCUGAUUUCCUGUCUUUCCUUCCCCAAAAAUGUCGAACUUGACCCGUUUCAGAGGCGUCGCGCGUAGAAAAUAGAACCGGCGCGUAAGGGCCGCGACAUGCUGCUCCUGAGACGCGGCCGACUCGCGCUGCUGACGGCUCCAGUGGAAAAGGUUCUGUUGACUACAGCGGUUCCUAUCAGCAGCUAUGACGUGCUGCUGCAGUAACGUGCUGCUGACGGUUCCUGUGGAAGGCCGGGGUGACAUGAAGCCUUGCAGGUGUAGUAAAAUAUAUCAGUAUAUAGCUUAUUGCUACACGUGUGUUGCUGCUGUGAGCUUGGAGCUAGAUUACAUCAUGAAGGAGACUACUGAUUCUGGUCCUGUGACACUUGGUGACGUGUGAACUGAUUUACCUGGACACUCAGCGAAAUAUGGACGCUACACCAUGAGGCAGGCACACGUCAGGAUUCUAUAAGAGCACAUGAGGUGAGCAACACCACAGAUUAUUAAUAUCAUUGUACACUGUCCUGGAUUUGUUUUCUUUCUGCAUCUCAUCAUUAGCCUGGCUGAUCACCUGAUAACUCCUGUCACCUGGUUAUGACAGCAUGAGGAUGUCCUCACACACCUGUAACCUAUCAGCUCAUCUGGCAGAAUAGAGAGAGAAGACACAGCACCACAUCUCCUGUUCCUGGAAAGCCUUCAGCCAUCCUUCGAUGACUGAGAACCUCCAUCAGCUCUGUCUCCUGUCUGCCCACAAUUAUUAUAAUAAAUGUUGUGUUUGACAAGUUUUUUUGUGCUGCCAAAUAUCUCAUAUAGAUUCCAGUUUUGAUAUUUUAAUGGAUAUUUAUAAAUUACAUUAAUUGAAUUAUCACAUUGUUGCACGUUUAACUAGCUCUGUUGUGAUGAAUUAAACUAGCACCUCACUGUUAAAAGCUCAUUUUAAACUCAAGCGUGUUUAAAUAUUUAUGGACAUGCACAAAAACAGGAAAUAUAUAAAUUGAGAUUUAUUUAAAUAAUAUAACAAAUGACUGUUUAGAGGGGGAAGGAAUCAUUCGAAGGCAUGUUCUUCUGGGAGCUCCUCAUCUUGACGACACCACCAGAGACCAGCUGCAGACACCAGAGGAUCACCUACGACCAAGAGAAAGCUGGUAUCAGUAAAUAAUGAAAUCAGGGCAAUUUUAUGUAUGUUUGCGAUUGUGUAACAUAAAUUAACACAUUACAGAAUAAUUUUCUCAUGGGGUAUUUUUAUAAGUUUCUCUGCAGCAGACAGUAACUUUAGCCCAGGGUAGGAGAGCUGCUAUCGACACGUUUCAGUGGUUUUUCCUGCUUUAACAUGUUAGAUUAACAGUUCCGCAGCUCAGGUAUUUGCUGCUAAUUAAAACCAGGUGUGUUGAAGCAGAUAAACCUCUAAAACAUGCUGGAUAACAGCUCUCUAAGGCUGUGGAGGCAAACCCUGCAGCUAAUCUAACGCUAUGGCUAAUGGCUACUUACCAUUCAGACGGGUUCUGUUGGGUCGGCUCCGGUGGUU